This 507-nucleotide ribosomal RNA is filed under the name uncultured Glomus. Its description in RNAcentral is "SSU rRNA". It matches the Rfam family "Eukaryotic small subunit ribosomal RNA", at positions 569 to 1078 of the family's 1831-position model. The record is from RNAcentral. Lineage: Eukaryota; Fungi; Glomeromycota; Glomeromycetes; Glomerales; Glomeraceae.
AGCAGCCGCGGUAAUUCCAGCUCCAAUAGCGUAUAUUAAAGUUGUUGCAGUUAAAAAGCUCGUAGUUGAAUUUCGGGAUCAAUAUGUCGGUCGUGCCUUCGGUACGUACUGGUAUCAUUGGUCUCUCCUUUCUGACGAACCAUGAUGUCAUUAAUUUGGUGUCGUGGGGAAUCAGGACUGUUACUUUGAAAAAUUAGAGUGUUUAAAGCAGGCUCACGCUUGAAUACAUUAGCAUGGAAUAAUGAAAUAGGACGUUUGAUUCUAUUUUGUUGGUUUCUAGGAUCGACGUAAUGAUUAAUAGGGAUAGUUGGGGGCAUUAGUAUUCAAUUGUCAGAGGUGAAAUUCUUGGAUUUAUUGAAGACUAACUACUGCGAAAGCAUUUGCCAAGGAUGUUUUCAUUAAUCAAGAACGAAAGUUAGGGGAUCGAAGACGAUCAGAUACCGUCGUAGUCUUAACCAUAAACUAUGCCGACUAGGGAUCGGAUGAUGUUAAUUUUUAAUGUACUCU